UCCCCGGUCGUCUAACGGUAGGACAGCGGACUCUGAAUCCGCGAAUCAUGGUUCGAAUCCAUGCUGGGGAACCA
This 74-nucleotide transfer RNA is filed under the name Spirochaeta sp. RNAcentral describes it as "tRNA-Gln". It matches the Rfam family "tRNA". From Rfam's summary of the family: Transfer RNA (tRNA) molecules are approximately 80 nucleotides in length. The record is from RNAcentral. RNAcentral also lists the same sequence under 2 other names. Lineage: Bacteria; Pseudomonadati; Spirochaetota; Spirochaetia; Spirochaetales; Spirochaetaceae.